UACGAAGGGGGCUAGCGUUGCUCGGAUUUACUGGGCGUAAAGGGCACGUAGGCGGACAUUUAAGUCGGGGGUGAAAGCCCGGGGCUCAACCUCGGAAUUGCCUUCGAUACUGGAUGUCUUGAGUAUGAGAGAGGUGUGUGGAACUCCGAGUGUAGAGGUGAAAUUCGUAGAUAUUCGGAAGAACACCAGUGGCGAAGGCGACACACUGGCUCAUUACUGACGCUGAGGCGCGAAAGCGUGGGGAGCAAACAGG
RNAcentral lists this ribosomal RNA (253 nucleotides) under uncultured bacterium. RNAcentral's name for it is "partial 16S ribosomal RNA". It matches the Rfam family "Bacterial small subunit ribosomal RNA", at positions 524 to 776 of the family's 1533-position model. The record is from RNAcentral.